Long non-coding RNA from Pseudophryne corroboree (corroboree frog), 651 nucleotides. RefSeq lists it as uncharacterized. NCBI's taxonomy places the organism in Eukaryota, Metazoa, Chordata, Amphibia, Anura, Myobatrachidae. The record is from RefSeq and is a predicted model, not a curated record. The transcript is spliced from 4 exons.
CCAUACUAAAAAAGAGGAUUCGAGCAGUCGGAAAACUGGCAUCGGUAUCCUGACACCCGUCAGACUGUCGAUACCGGAAUCCCGGCAGUGUCAGGAGGCCGAGACCGGAAUCCCAACAGCAGACCUCCCGACCAUAAGUCCACAGCCCAUGCAUAUCUGGGAUCUGGUCGGUAUCCCGGCGGUAAUCCCAGUGUCGGAACACUGAGCGCCGACAUCCCAAAGAUGCACAGCGCCUGCUUCUCUUCAUGGCUCCUCUUCACUUCAGCAGCGGUGACAGCAUGACCUCACAUUUGCCGUGCCGAAAAAGGAAGCCACUGGGACCUGAGGAGGGGAUGAAUGCUGUCCAACAGACUCAGCAUGUGUCUAGACCAGGUGAUCCUCAAAUGAUCCUGAAGAAGCCUUAUGGUGAAACGUUGGUGAAAGGAGCUUGGAAGUUCCAGGACUAUGGACAACCAGUUUUGCCGGCAAAACAGCCCUCCGUCGACUGAGACAAGGUACAAAAUGCAAUAUUGAUUGCUAACCAAAUUUGAAGAAGUGACUCAAUUCUAGAAAUUCUCUAUAUGAAAAAAUGUCACUAUUAAGAUACUAUCAAUUGGGAUUGCGACUCACAUCUAGGAAUUUCAUACAUAUGUUUUCACUAACAUUUUUUUG